This is a long non-coding RNA of Megalops cyprinoides (Indo-Pacific tarpon), 1448 nucleotides long. RefSeq lists it as uncharacterized. Lineage: Eukaryota; Metazoa; Chordata; Actinopteri; Elopiformes; Megalopidae. The transcript has 4 exons. The record is from RefSeq and is a predicted model, not a curated record.
UAUUCGGAAAAACUGUCUUCCCCCUCCCCCCAUUUUGAAACCUCUGGAUAUUGUGAAAGGUCCGUUUUUUCAGUAUUUUCUCACAGCCCGACUGACGCUGCAGCCUCAGAUUCGGGAAACGGGUGUUGCUAUUUUGAUUGUGGUGAAUAUGCAUCAAUAUGGUAAUCUAGUAUCUGUCUUUAUGCACCCUCAUCUAAUCCACGUGCCUCAGAACUCAAAACUCCGCCAAGUCGCCGAGAUAUGAGAAAGGAUUUUACUAUAUAGGUGAGUCCAUUUUAUGCGGAUAAAACUACGCCAAAUGUAAGUGGUGUACAUACAGGCUAUAAUGUGUUUGUGAAGACAAACAACUUGUGAGUCAAUGACAGCAUGUGGUUCUUUUUUUGCUGGGAGGAAAAAAAAAUCUUUACGUGUGGCCAUCUGACCAUUGCUAUUGGGUGGCACAUGAUAUGAGCACUUCAGAGCAAGGUUCACUAAAAGAAGAGGAACAGUUACUACUGGAAACCACCAUAAAGCUAUUCCAGUGGGUUAUUGUAGGCAUUCCACUACAGUUGAGAUGCAUAUACUUUAAACCUGAAAAAGCACACAUUUCUGGAUGGAGGAUUUUAAAGAUGACGUAGAAAUAUUAUGAAUCCGGAGGUGAGGAUGACCAGAAUUUGCCCGCUGCAGGAGAGAGGGGGGCAUUGACCUAUUUGAAAUGUAUCCCGAAGCGAAGCCUACAUGAGGUGAGCUAAGGAAGGACGAGUCCGCGGGGAGACAACAGCUGACGGCUUAAUUUGAAGGGAAGGAUGGCGCCUCUGUUCGUUAAGAUGGAGCUCCCCUGUAGGCAACGGAGAGCAAACAUGGCCUACACCCAUGUAGGAGAAGUGACAGCAUUGCUCUCUGAUGGAAAGUAAGAUCCAGGUUUGGACCACACCUCCAUUGUCUUCAGACAGAUGGCACAGAACCUUACGCCGAUCUGUCUAUGGGUUCACAAGAAUUCAUGCGAAAGAGGAAACAGGAAGAAAUAGUUUCACUUCAAUAUGUCACUGGCCCAAGGUAAACAGUUACAGUUGCUAUGGUCCCUGAUCUUUCGAAUGCUUCCUCGAUACAGUGCACACGCUUAAUAUAUUUUUUUUUUCUUCUUUGUGUCAGCAGUGCUAGGAAAGGUGGCAUUCUGUAAACUGAAACCAUUUGCUUUCCAGUGCAAUUGCUGGUUUCUGCUUACACGUAGCAACACUGAAACAUAUUACUUUACAUGUAAAAGUAAUGUAAAGCAAUAAACCCUGAGCCAGACAGAUGUACACAACCAUCAACGUGUGCCAUCUGGCAGAGACAAUGCCAAACCUCUUCUGCCUUAUUGUGUCAAUGGUAACUGUUAUCUGUGGAUUGUUCGACAUAGAAUACAAUUGCCAACAUCUCAGUGAAAGAGGAUUCCAUUAUCACAUCAUUGUUGGCAACUGCUAUGCAUG